Molecule: long non-coding RNA, 1222 nt
Filed under: Equus caballus (horse)
Lineage: Eukaryota; Metazoa; Chordata; Mammalia; Perissodactyla; Equidae
Description: lncRNA (ENSECAG00000055313.1)
Source: RNAcentral
CCCGUCUAACGCGAGUGCUGGUUCCGGCCCAGGAGGGGACUAAGCCUUACCAGCCAGAGAAGUGUGCUUGCCGUGUGCCAGCAUUUUAUGUAACACGGUUUACCAUACGGUCUCUUGAGUCCUUGUAACACAUCUUUGAGUUUUCCCAAGAUUGGAGUUAUCAUGUCAUUUUGGUAGCUGUUUGAUCCACCUGGCCUGGAACUGGAGCCCUGAAUGCGCUCUGCUCCUCACGGACCUGCAUGACCUCAGGCUCUUUCUGUGCUUCAGUUCCUUUGUUUGGAGCACGGAGUGGAAAUGUAGCAGACAUCUUAAAACGACUAGAUUAUGGAGCUCAUGAAGAUCAGAAGUCCGGCGUUUGCAGAGUUCAGACCGAUUGGGAGGAUACGCAUUCCAAGAAAUUACCUUAAGAUUUGUUUCACCAUUAAAGUGACAUUCUCAGCUGUGCUCCAAUCAACUGGAUAAAAGCGGAAAACCCAUCAGAAGUUGUUCCUGUUGACUAUCACCUUUCAAAUGCCAGCAACUUGCCUUUCCAGAUGCACGGUGGUGCUGCUUCCAGAAGGGCUCCCCACUGCCCACAGAAUUGAUGCCAGAGGCCAGCGUCUGCCAUUUGAGAAGCAUUUAAUCUGGGAGGACCAACCUUUCUAGACCCCAAUCCUGUAUCCCCAAGCCCCUCCCCAACACCAUAUGCUCAAGCCAUGCCGGACUUGUAGUUUCCUGAUUUUGUAGCCUUUCCCGUCCAUACCUCCAGCCUUCACGUGACCACAGCCCUAACUGACGUCUUGACUGCAACUUCAUGAGGGGCCGUGGGCCAGAAUCACCCAGCUAAGGCGCUCCUGGAUUCCCGACCCACAGCGCUGUGAUAAAUAAAUAGCUGUUGUUUUAAGAUGCUACGUUUUGGGGAAAUUUGUUACAGAAUAAUGGAUUCCCCUCCCUGGCCUGGUAUUGUUAUAAAUCAGCAGGAGGAUCCAAGCAACCUCCUGCUGUGUUGCUCAGAGUCGGCAAACUCCCCACACUAGAUUCGGCCCUCAUCACACGUCCGGAGUGGACAGUGUGGAAAUGGAGAGACAGGACAUGCAACUAAUGUGAAGCUUGAGGAGGAGAAAGCAGAAGACGAAGACCUGUUCACAAGUUGGUAGCUGGAUGCCUACAAUGUCUGAGCUGGCUUUUCCCCUUUUCUAUGAAGGGAGAGGCAGUAGAGCAGGGAGAAGAAUGAAUAUUUUGA